ACGUUGGCGGCGUGCUUAACACAUGCAAGUCGAACGCUGAAGCCCAGCUUGCUGGGUGGAUGAGUGGCGAACGGGUGAGUAACACGUGAGUAACCUGCCCUCUUCUUUGGGAUAACGCCCGGAAACGGGUGCUAAUACUGGAUAUUCACUGAUCUUCGCAUGGGGGUUGGUGGAAAGGUUUUUUCUGGUGGGGGAUGGGCUCGCGGCCUAUCAGCUUGUUGGUGGGGUGAUGGCCUACCAAGGCUUUGACGGGUAGCCGGCCUGAGAGGGUGACCGGUCACAUUGGGACUGAGAUACGGCCCAGACUCCUACGGGAGGCAGCAGUGGGGAAUAUUGCACAAUGGGCGAAAGCCUGAUGCAGCGACGCCGCGUGAGGGAUGACGGCCUUCGGGUUGUAAACCUCUUUCGCUCAUGGUCAAGCCGCAGCUUUGGGUUGUGGUGAGGGUAGUGGGUAAAGAAGCGCCGGCUAACUACGUGCCAGCAGCCGCGGUAAUACGUAGGGCGCGAGCGUUGUCCGGAAUUAUUGGGCGUAAAGGGCUUGUAGGCGGUUGGUCGCGUCUGCCGUGAAAUCCUCUGGCUUAACUGGGGGCGUGCGGUGGGUACGGGCUGACUUGAGUGCGGUAGGGGAGACUGGAACUCCUGGUGUAGCGGUGGAAUGCGCAGAUAUCAGGAAGAACACCGGUGGCGAAGGCGGGUCUCUGGGCCGUUACUGACGCUGAGGAGCGAAAGCGUGGGGAGCGAACAGGAUUAGAUACCCUGGUAGUCCACGCUGUAAACGUUGGGCACUAGGUGUGGGGGCCACCCGUGGUUUCUGCGCCGUAGCUAACGCUUUAAGUGCCCCGCCUGGGGAGUACGGCCGCAAGGCUAAAACUCAAAGGAAUUGACGGGGGCCCGCACAAGCGGCGGAGCAUGCGGAUUAAUUU
Molecule: ribosomal RNA, 923 nt
Filed under: uncultured bacterium
Lineage: Bacteria
Description: bacterial SSU rRNA
Rfam family: Bacterial small subunit ribosomal RNA
Source: RNAcentral